AGUUAUUUCAAAUUAUUGGUGAUGUGCUUAAAAUUAAUGUUUUUAUAGUUGUUUCGCAUAUAGGUGAGACGUAUCCCGAGGACGACCGCAUCCAGGGACGCCACGGGGGUUACGACCCGUCGACUUAUCAGUGAGUGGGCAGUUUUGUUUUCGUAUUACCUAUAUACUACUGUUUUUCCCAGAAAAAUGUUUAUAUGAAAAUAUGUUUUGAAUAUGCCAUGCAUAGAAUUAUUUGAAAAUCAUGAAUUGGUUUAUGAACUAUAUGAUUGAAAUAUGAUGCAUACAUGUUGCAUGGUGCUGUGGAGGCACAGGUAAGUCAGGUGAGUUCAUUUAUUCAUUGAAUUGUUGUUGUUGAGAUGAGUUGAGCUCAUAAUCUGCACCCUAGGUGUUAGUGCUUAUAUUAUUCACCACACCGCACGCUCGUCUUGGAUCCAAGUAGGUGGAUGUCGUACAGACCAUGUGAGGGUUCCGACAUGCUAGUCGUACAGAUCACUAGGCGUGAUUCCGACUAGUGGGUGACCUUAGUUAUGCGCGCUGAUGAUAUGAUGAGAGAAGCACUAGAGCGUAUUUUUACACCUUUCAUCGUAUAGACUACCUUACGUAGUUCCGAGUGAUGUGCAGAGUAGGGCCGUAUAGGUCACUGUGGUGACUCCGGCUUAGUGGGAUUUGAGCUAUUGAAUUAAUCGUAUAGGACCAACUGCAGGGUCUCCGAUUGAUUCCUUAUUCACCUGAUUUAUAUUUUUAUUUAUGUCAUGGCAUGUUUUCUUGAAAAUGUUAAAGAUUUGAGAUUUAAAUGUUGAGAUUUUUAUAUGGUUAUAUAUUUCUGGGAAAGUAUACAGGUUUUUUACGGCGAGGGGAUAUAACUGUUUUUAAUGAAAUGUUUUGGAAAACUAAUUUGUUUUACUGACCCACUCAUUUUGUUUUGCGCCCCUCCAGGUUCUAGUUUAGCGGUGGUUGGCUCACGAGGUCCUUUCCGGCUUUCUGACAGAUUUGGGACAUGUAGGACUCACCUGAGGGUGAUGUAUUCUUAUUUUAGUCCUACUUGACUGCAGUUAACCUAUGCUCUGAACUUAUGUGUUUACUUGUAACUCGUCCGGUUAUGUCCGUAUGUGGUUAUGUUGAGUUUGGGUUGAAUUUCUGUUGUUAUAUGUUGUUAUUACGCUUCCGUGUCGUGCUUAUGGUUACGUCACGCCCACGUGACGGCCAGCACACCUGGAUCCUUCGGAUCAGGGUGUGUCAUAUUUGGUACAAACUUCUUAAUGGAUGUAAAACACUUCAACAAAAAUUAGACUUCUAGCAGUUAAGCAGAGCUCAUUCGAUAUCAGAGGACCAAUGAGACUAACAGCUUAUGAAUUUUCUUUUUAAUUUAUUAUUAUUAAGGAGAGGGGGAAGAGUUUGAAAGUAUUACAAUAAUUAUGGGAUGAGUAUCGAAUCCGAUACGCAUAAAACCCAACACCUUAUCCACUGAGAUAUUGGACUACAUGCUAGCUUAUGAAAAAUAAAUCAAGACAAAAAUCAAUAAAACUUUUCAAGUGAAUAAUUUAUCCUAAGCUGAGUUGAACACUUCACUAUGAUAUACAAGAUAGUAAGUAAUCUAAUUACAAUAUUAAGCACUAAAUAUCACCACCAAUCAGCACACAUUACAUAUGUGUACAAGAUGAAAAAGGUUAAAAAAAGGAGAGUGAUUUUUGCACACCUUUUUUGUCUCCCCAAGUACACAUGUUUAUUUUCAGUAUUUGAAUUGUAUAAACUAAAACAGAAUUAAGUGACAAAAUAAUUCGAGGUGCGCAGAAAGAGAAAAUGAGCUUGCGGAGGUCAUUUCCUAAUAACCUGUAUAUAUGGAAAGGGGUAAUGUGGGAAGGAAGAAAACUCACCCAGGUGGAGCAAAGAAAGUGGCAUAGGGAACCAACAUGAAGCCACUGGGGAGUGAGAUAGUACCCAGAAGAAGCAGAUUCAUAAGCUUCCUCUUCUCCAUGUCUGGCACUCUAUCAGCAGCAAUACUGCCUGCCUGGCAAGUGACUCUCAUUCCCUUUCCCUUUCCCAUCAUCUGUGUCCUCUUGCUCUUCACAGCAAAGCCCUUUGCUGAUGAGAACAUUGCACUCUUGCUGGAACACAGCUGACAAAACAAUCAAACACAUAGCAAAAGAUUAUUUCUCAUUAACUCUAGCUUUAACCCUCCAACCCCACAUCAGGCAGUUCACGUACAAGAGAUUAAUUAGUACUAAUCAAUACUUAAGUAAGCAAUAAGAGAGUUGGGUUUUGGUUUUAAUUACCUGGGAAGUGGUAGCAGGACAUAGAGUAGAGGAAGCCAUUGUAAGGGGAUUGCUUGGAGAUCAACUGUUAGCUGCUUCAUUUUUUGUGUGAAAUAUGGUUUUGUAACGACCACAGCCCACUAGUGGAUAAGGCGCAUGGUAAAAGGGCGCCACAUUACCACAUGUUCAUGAUCAAGAUUUUUCUAGCUACCUUGAAGGAAAAAAUAUAUACAAAUAAUAUUUAUGGGCUGACUAACCCAAGAUUAUUCAUUUGCAUUUUACAAAAAGAACAACAUUGAUGGGCUGACUAACCCAAGAUUGGGAGGGUAUAGAAAUAUAACAAAGCUUCUGAAUUGUACUAUUGGGCCAUUGUGAUCUUCCACUAACAAGCUGGGGUUCGCUAUUGGGCUUUGCCUAAACUUUCUAUAUGAGAAUUGGGAUUUUCAUCUUAUUAGCAACGAGUCGUGUUUAGGGUUUAUCCCUUUAUAUAUAAAAUGAUACAAAAGUAAAAUUAUACUACUAAUACAAUAAGUGAAAUGAUAAAAACACACCACUUUUAGCCUUUCACACAUCCUUGUUUAAUCAUGAUUGUUGUUUUUGUUUGAUUUAUUCAAUUUGAUGACAAAAAAUUAAAAGGAUUGUUUUAGAACUUUGAAGCUAAAAAGAGUAAGUGAAAAGCACCUCCCAUACAAUAACUCAUAUUAUUUAGGAGAAAGUUGAGGAAAGUUAUAAUACCAAUAUAUACCAUAACUUUUAUAAUAUUAUAUUGAACAUUGAUGCAGUUAAUCAUAUACACAUCAUGUCUUAUUAUCUUGUGAAUUUUGAGUUGUGUUGUGACCAAUAUUGCUACACCUUUGUGACUUGUUCAACAUACUAGGAGUAUUUAUGAAAAAUAGAAAUUGUUGAAUUAAUUUGGUAACAAGUGGCAAUGUUUGAUCGCUAUCACUAUUUCAUGAUUCACAUAAACCAAAAGUCAAACACCAAAUAGACAAUUCAGCACAACCUUUUUUUUUUUUCCUCAAUUGCAAACCAACCCCGAGUCUUUGACAAUAAAGUAGAGAAAUGAUCAAUUGUCUUCAACUUCCACUUCAAAUGAUGGGCUUGCAUGCUCUCCCUUUUUCCUAGUUUAAUAGCUUAUUGCACCCAAGUUUUGACAUCCUCUCUCUCCCUCUGUCCCUCUUUCACCCACUCAUAUACUCCCCUUGCAAAACGGUAAACAUAUAAGAAAAUGUUAGGGAGAUCAUGGUUAAAAUUAUACCAUCAACCGCUAUCUUAUGUGCUCUACAAAAUAUAGUUCAAAUAGAUGGUCUAUGUAUCAUCACUCAAAAGCAUAAAUACAACUAAUCAUAAUCUUAUAGACAAUCUCUGCUUUUGCUUCCAGUUUCUUUUAUCACAUGGUUAUAAGGCAAUUCUUACCAUAUGCUACACACACACACACACACACAUAUAUCCCUAGUACUGCUACUUCAUCAUGAUUUUUUCCCCAGUCUACAGGCGAGCACCGUAGGGAAAAGCUUUUGGUGCACUGAUCCAGAAGCUAAUUAAGCCAGUCCUUAGGCUAUGAGUACGAACUUGUAUUGACUAUAGCUGUUAGCAUGUAGAAAAUAGAUAAUAAAGAAAAGAGUAUAUAUUAACAAGAGUGUUCUUCUCUGGGUCACUAUGAAGUAUGGACCAUAUGGAUUGAAUUCUAGUGGAGCAACUAAGGAUGUACGUAUACAACAUAUGGAUUGAAUUCUAGUGGAGCAACUAAGGAUGUACGUAUACAACAUAGGUAUCGUUAUGUCAAAAAUUCAAUGAUUGACAUUUCAUUUAAAAUCUACCAUUGAAUUUCGAUUAACUGUAAUCUAUGGUGUUUAAUUUGUUCAAAAAAAUGCACGCCCAUUUUUCUUAAUAUUUCCCUUUAAAUACUAUAUAUGUCUGUGUAAGUGUGAGAUAAAAGAGUCUUUUAUCUCUUCCGAGCUGUUUUUGUGGUAUAGGUUCGCAUGCAGUAUACUGCCAAUGAAUUCUCCGAAGAAGAUAAAUAAUUGAGUAUAGCUAGGUUUUCACUUUUGUCCCAAAGUAGAACAAGGUCCACCUUGCCUGUCUCCACCAUGAAUUUGCAAACGCAAAAAAAAAAAUAUUAAUGAUGAUGUUUUCUGCAUGGGGGUAUGGCGUGAAACAUACACUCAUCAUGUGCUUCCAUCUCUCUCUCUCUCUCUCUCUCUGCCUUCUCAAUAUCACUCCAAGCGUGCAUUCUUCACCUGUUCAAUCUCUACCACUCUCGUUCUUUUUACAAAACUCCUCCAUUAACAACAUACUUAAUAAUAAUCUAUCAAUCUUUCUUUCAAGCUUAUUUGGACAGUCCACGGUCACUACUUAAUCAACAUUGAUAUUGCUCUUAUUUUAAUUUGUACAAUUCAAUAAGCUUUUAUGCAAAAAGUCUCGAUUCAAUUAGUAUAAAUUAUUUUAUUAUUCAAAAGAAAAACCCUGGUAAACCAUUCAAUUCAAUUAAGUUGUUUUAAUUAAGUGUCUAGUGUGAGAUAUGCUUCAACAUAUGUGGCUUUGAAAAGUACUAAAAGGGACCUUAUAUAUUCUAUGUAUAUUUGGUCUUCCAAAGAGUAAGAAAGAAUAGUUCUUUGUGUUUUCUUUUGCUUUCUCUUGCACCAAUAUUGUUGAGAACUAAAGAGAAUCCAUUGUUUUCGUCAAAGAUGAAGACACCCAACAAAGAAAGUCAAACAAAGCAGGAAGAAAAGAAAAAAAUAUAUAUAAGGUACCCGUAUCAAUGAUUAAAAGUAGGGUUUCGAGAUGGAGCAAGCUUGAAGCAACCCAAAAAAAAAAAAAAGGAACGUUCUUCAAGGCAAUUAGGGAGGCAUUUCGAUUCAAGUGAUAAAACAAACACAAAAUUAAAAGUUAUUUGGCUUCUUCUGGUAUCCCAAACUUUUUGUCUCCCCCAACUAACACGAAAUUAAGAUCGAUUUUAGUUUACAAUUACUUAUGAAUGACUUGCGAAAUGGAUCACAAGUAGAAUCCUAUGGUAAGGUCAUUACUCAGAAGUUGAAAUGUGGAUGGUAUCUGUAGAUCAUGUGAAGUUGAGAUCCUUUUUUCAUGCAAUCUAACGGUGGUAUACGAUAACUUGGAUUCUCAGAAGUUGAAAUUUACUAUUGUAGGCACAAUCUCUAUGGUUGAUGUUAUCGCAUUAUAAUUUUUUUAGAAAUGUAAAGAGAUUCUCUUAAAGGUGAAAUUCUCUAUAAACUCUCUAUCGUCCUAUAUUUUUGCACAAUAUUUUAUAAUGUUGCCGUGAAAAUUGAUGUGAAAUUGUGAGGUAACAAAUAGUUCAUGAAGAAAUAUUGAUAGUUGCUUAGCAUUUUUCUAUAUUUAAUUCUCAAUUUUGUUUAUUAUAUCGUAGAUAUUGAACAAAAUUUGGCACAAAUGUGGUCGUGCCUUACAAGUGUACUGGUGCAACUAUGGUCGUUUUCUACGUCACGGUCGAAGUAGAUGAAGUUAAAUACUACUUCGUCGAGCAUUUUAGUUCUUGAGCAUUUUUAUUUUAGUCAAUUGAAAUACUUACAUGAGCUAUUACGUGGUAACUUUUAAAAUGGUACAAUAGUACAUUGGAACUUUAACAUGAAGGCAGUUAGUUAAGACAUAUGAGAGAGAUUUUUCAGUGUAACUGGAACAUGAAAUGGUACAUCACAUGUCAUUAUAUCAAUAAUGGAAUAUGUAUGCUAAAAAGUUAAUAACUUAAAAAAUACAAUUUCCUACCACUUAUAUAAAAACACGUGGUGUACUAUCCAUAUUUCCAUCACAAUGAAAAUUUCUCCACAUAUGUACGUCCUACUGUUUAUUAUGUCGAUAUUUUAUAGUGAUUAGGCAACAAUUUAUUACUAAUUAUCAACAAUUUAUAGAGAUUAGGCAACAAUCUAUUUCACCGCUAUAAAAAACUAAUACAAGUACAUAAAGGCAAUGGUCGAUGACCCAAAUCCAAGGAAGAUGACCAGAGGAAAACAGGGUAAUCAAAUUUCAAAGAUACUUGUAACCAAAAGAAAAUUUUCAAAGGACGUUCCGUAAAACAAUUGCGUGACAUGAUGACAAUCUAUUAUUAUGUACUAAUAAUGCAGCUGGGUUGCAUCUUCUUAAAAUAGUAGAAAUUUUUUAUCAUGCUCGCAACAUGGGGCGUUAUAUGUGCUUGUUUUUCAAACAUAUUAAAAAAUCUCUCUUUGAAUGAUACAUUGUUUCUUUUUCUAUUGUUCAUUUGCAAACCAAAUAAUGUGUUACCAAUAAGCAAUAAGUAUGCUAAUUAACACUUAAGAAAUAAAUCAACAUUUUACCAUCAAGGCAUCUUGAAAAUGAAUCGUAUUCCAUGCAUAUGAUACCUAUCCAGUGCGAUGCUCGUUUUCCGGGCACACACAUUGUUUCUUUUUCUAUUAUUUUUUAGUAAUACUAGGUAGAUCAAAUUUGCAAACCAAAUAAUAUGUCACCAAUAAUAAAUCAAUACGUUAAUCAACACUUAAGUAAUAGUCUAAGCAUCAACUUUAAUGUCAUUUAAUUUACAAAAUUUAGCCUCACUAACAUUACCCUAUUCAUUUACUCUUUCCACUUAUCCUAGAAUGGCACAUGCCAAACAAUCUUUAUUUUGAUCUGGUUGGCACAUUGCUAAUGACACAUGCCAAACAAUCUUUAUUUUGAUUUGGUCAAUUUCAAAUUUUAUUAAUUAUAUACGAUUCCAAGACUAUAUGAGGUAUUGGUGAUCUUCAACAAUGUCAAGACCUAAUUCAAACUGAUGACUUUUUCGUUAAUAUUCUCUAUAUGCAAUAUAUAGUUGAGGUUAUUUAAUUAAAUUUAUCACUUUAAUUUGAUGACUUUUUCGUUAAUUAUAUAUUGAAAGGAACUAGAGGUAGGGCUGGCAAUUCUAACCAUUAAACCCGAUAACUGUGGAUAAUCGCCUGAAUGGAUUGGAUUUGGAUAUGAAAAUUCGGGUAUGGUAUGGAUAUGGGGAAAAACCGUGAACUUUAUUCGCUUAUGGUUUUAGAUAUGGUUAUAGGGGUUCCCAAUCCAUAU
RNAcentral lists this long non-coding RNA (7289 nucleotides) under Malus domestica (apple). RNAcentral describes it as "long non-coding RNA (MDOM_LNC007986)". Lineage: Eukaryota; Viridiplantae; Streptophyta; Magnoliopsida; Rosales; Rosaceae. The record is from RNAcentral.